AGCCACACCAACACGGUGAGCUGCUUUAGGAAUUAUAUCAUCAUAAAGCAUCACAUCUCAAAGGCAGAGUAACAGAUGUAUUGUGUUGACCUACUGAGUGUGGAAUAUACCUGGAAAAAAGUGACAGACACAGUGGGAGGGACACCCUCUCCCAGAGCAAGACAUUCCUGCUGGGUCUACAAAAACAGGCUAGUCUACUUUGGAGGAUAUGGCUGCAAAACAGCCAGAGAGGUCAACAAAACCAAGAGCUUUAUGGUUGAUGAGGCUAGCUGGGUGAGGAGAAAGAUUGUGAAAAAAAAAUGAACAGCUAAAGUUGUUGUACAGUAGUAGAGUUAGUUUACCCUGAUUUUUUUUAAUACAGG
Puntigrus tetrazona (Sumatra barb) is the source of this 362-nucleotide long non-coding RNA. RefSeq lists it as uncharacterized. NCBI's taxonomy places the organism in Eukaryota, Metazoa, Chordata, Actinopteri, Cypriniformes, Cyprinidae. The record is from RefSeq and is a predicted model, not a curated record. The transcript has 3 exons.